This 97-nucleotide non-coding RNA is filed under the name bovine gut metagenome. The record is from RNAcentral.
CAAAAGGGGAGCUGGGGCAUGGCCCGGCUGAGAGGAGCGGUCCGGUCGCUCGACCCAAGAACCUGAUCUGGAUAAUGCCAGCGGAGGGAGGACGAUG